Long non-coding RNA from Ictalurus punctatus (channel catfish), 1081 nucleotides. The record is from Ensembl. Lineage: Eukaryota; Metazoa; Chordata; Actinopteri; Siluriformes; Ictaluridae.
GGGGGGGUUAGUGUUGUAUAACUGCUUAUACGCUUUGUUUCUCUGAACAGAUCCUCUUUGUUUGUCUUCCAAAAUUAUUCUGAGUCAAGCCUUCACUCAUUACAAAAUGGAUUGUCUCAGACUUUCACCAGGGAUGUGACACAAGCAGGGCUCACACUCCACGCCAAGAGAAUUGUGUCAAGGUCAAAGUAAUAUGUCAACAGUGUCAGCAUUACACGAGGCUGUUUUAUUUAUUUUUUUUUUUAACAAGCGAAAACGCUUUUAUUUGCCACUUAAAUUAGGGUUAUGCAAAAAGAAAUAACAGCAGAGACUUUUCUGCUUAUAAAGCCUCUAAACGCGCAUGCGCCGAGUGCGCACACGAUGUUGCCAGAUUAUUGUAUAACAAGUGUAUUUAUAUGUAGAUAUUUUUAAGGUAUAUUUCAGCAACAAUAAAGUUAUUGGAAUGGCCAUCAAAAAACAAACAAACAAAAAAACGUUCCAUAAUUUGAGGAAAUAAUAUAAUUAUAACGUAUUCUGGUGUUGCCAGUUUGUUGUACAACAACCGUGUUGAAAAAGAUAAAACCCUCAAAUUAAUGGAAUCUCUGUCAAAUAGUAAAUUUAUAACAUUUCGAAAUAAGUUCGCGAAACAAACACUCAGGUUUCUUCACCUCUAAUUAAAAUGACUGACUUUAAAUUGUUUACUCUUGCUGGGCUGAGAGAUAGGAUAAUGUACGCGGUGAGCCUUGUUUCCUUGAAAAUGGAAAAUCUGGCAACCCGAGACGCAGAUGGUAUUCCACAUGUGUUUUGAGCGCUUAUCCUUGAGGGUCACACGGAACCUGGAACCUAUCCUAGGGAGCAUCGGGCACAAGGCGGGGUACAUCCUGGACAGGGUGCCAAUCCUAUCCAUACACUACGGACAAUUUAGACAUGCCAAUCAGCCUACCAUGCAUGUCUUUGGACUGGGGGAGGAAACCGGAGUACCCGGAGGAAACCCCUGCAGCACGGGGAGAACAUGCAAACUCCACACACACAGGGCAGAGGUCGGGAAUCGAACCCCCAACCCUGGAGGUGAGGCGAAUGUGCUAACCACUAAGCUACCGUG